This 499-nucleotide ribosomal RNA is filed under the name uncultured bacterium. Its description in RNAcentral is "partial 16S ribosomal RNA". It matches the Rfam family "Bacterial small subunit ribosomal RNA", at positions 28 to 507 of the family's 1533-position model. The record is from RNAcentral.
GACGAACGCUGGCGGCGUGCCUAAUACAUGCAAGUCGAGCGAAGUUUUUCUGGUGCUUGCACUAGAAAAACUUAGCGGCGAACGGGUGAGUAACACGUAAAGAACCUGCCUCAUAGACUGGGACAACUAUUGGAAACGAUAGCUAAUACCGGAUAACAGUAUUUCUCGCAUGAGAGAUAUUUAAAAGUUGGUUAUGCUGACACUAUGAGAUGGCUUUGCGGUGCAUUAGCUAGUUGGUGGGGUAAAGGCCCACCAAGGCGAAGAUGCAUAGCCGACCUGAGAGGGUGAUCGGCCACACUGGGACUGAGACACGGCCCAGACUCCUACGGGAGGCAGCAGUAGGGAAUCUUCCGCAAUGGGCGAAAGCCUGACGGAGCAACGCCGCGUGAGUGAAGAAGGAUUUCGGUUCGUAAAGCUCUGUUGUUAGGGAAGAAUGGAUAUGUAGUAACUAUACAUGUAAGAGACGGUACCUAACCAGAAAGCCACGGCUAACUACGUG